UUUUUUUGGAGAAAAAAAAGUUAUUAGACAUCCCUCAACUCCUUUUCCUACAUUGAGACAGAAGUUUAAUGCUUGUUUUCCUCUUUAUCUGGAUUGCAAGUUUGGCUUUUCUGUUACAGAU
This is a non-coding RNA of Cucumis melo (muskmelon), 121 nucleotides long. The record is from Rfam. Lineage: Eukaryota; Viridiplantae; Streptophyta; Magnoliopsida; Cucurbitales; Cucurbitaceae.